RNAcentral lists this ribosomal RNA (391 nucleotides) under uncultured bacterium. RNAcentral describes it as "partial 16S ribosomal RNA". It matches the Rfam family "Bacterial small subunit ribosomal RNA", at positions 355 to 762 of the family's 1533-position model. The record is from RNAcentral.
UGGGGAAUAUUGCACAAUGGGCGAAAGCCUGAUGCAGCAACGCCGCGUGAGUGAUGAAGGCCUUCGGGUUGUAAAGCUCUGUCUUUUGGGACGAUAAUGACGGUACCAAAGGAGGAAGCCACGGCUAACUACGUGCCAGCAGCCGCGGUAAUACGUAGGUGGCAAGCGUUGUCCGGAUUUACUGGGCGUAAAGGAUGCGUAGGCGGAUUUUUAAGUGAGAUGUGAAAUACCCGGGCUUAACUUGGGUGCUGCAUUUCAAACUGGGAAUCUAGAGUGCGGGAGAGGAGAAUGGAAUUCCUAGUGUAGCGGUGAAAUGCGUAGAGAUUAGGAAGAACACCAGUGGCGAAAGGCGAUUCUCUGGACCGUAACUGACGCUGAGGCAUGAAAGCGU